AACCAGCACCUCAAGUGGUCAGGAGGAUUAUUGGGCCUAAAGCAUCCGUAGCCGGCUUUGUUAGUUUUCGGUUAAAUCCAUGCGCUCAACGCAUGGGCUGUCGGAAAUACUGCAGAGCUAGGGAGUGGGAGAGGUAGACGGUACUCAGUAGGAAGGGGUAAAAUCCUUUGAUCUAUUGAUGACCACCUGUGGCGAAGGCGGCCUCCUGGCUCGACACUGACACUGAGGUGCGAAAGCGUGGGGAGCAAACAGG
Molecule: ribosomal RNA, 253 nt
Filed under: uncultured archaeon
Lineage: Archaea
Description: partial 16S ribosomal RNA
Rfam family: Archaeal small subunit ribosomal RNA
Source: RNAcentral